Molecule: transfer RNA, 92 nt
Filed under: subsurface metagenome
Description: tRNA-Ser
Rfam family: tRNA
About the family: Transfer RNA (tRNA) molecules are approximately 80 nucleotides in length. Their secondary structure includes four short double-helical elements and three loops (D, anti-codon, and T loops).
Source: RNAcentral
GGAGAGGUGCUGGAGUGGCCUAUCAGGCGCGCCUGGAGAGCGCGUGUCGCCAUACUUGGCGACCGUGGGUUCGAAUCCCACCCUCUCCGCCA